GCAAGUCGAACGAUGAAACAGAGCUUGCUCUGUGGAUUAGUGGCGAAAGGGUGAGUAACCCGUGAGUAACCUGCCCGGAAGUUGGGGAUAGCCCGUGGAAACGCGGAUUAAUACCGAAUGUGGAUUUUUUGGCUCCUGCCUUUUUAUCUAAAGAUUUAUUGCUUCCGGAUGGGCUCGCGUAUCAUCAGCUAGUUGGUAAGGUAACGGCUUACCAAGGCGACGACGAUUAGGUGGUCUGAGAGGACGAUC
This 249-nucleotide ribosomal RNA is filed under the name uncultured bacterium. RNAcentral describes it as "partial 16S ribosomal RNA". It matches the Rfam family "Bacterial small subunit ribosomal RNA", at positions 57 to 305 of the family's 1533-position model. The record is from RNAcentral.